This 31-nucleotide non-coding RNA is filed under the name Mus musculus (house mouse). Lineage: Eukaryota; Metazoa; Chordata; Mammalia; Rodentia; Muridae. The record is from RNAcentral.
UAUUUUUUUCUCUAAUUGCCUUUAUGACAUC